This 439-nucleotide unclassified non-coding RNA is filed under the name Hevea brasiliensis (rubber tree). Lineage: Eukaryota; Viridiplantae; Streptophyta; Magnoliopsida; Malpighiales; Euphorbiaceae. The record is from RNAcentral.
AGCUCACCUACCCAUCUGCCUCUGUUCCUCUCUCUCGCUUUCCUUUAGAUCUCUCUCAGUCUAACCAAUCGAAUUCGACUCGUCGUUUUCAUAGCAACGCAAAAUCCAAUAUCGUAGCCAUGGUGAAUGAAAACCCUUUCAAUAGCAUAUUGAAGACUCUUGAGAAACCUGAUGGUGGUGAAUUCGGCAAGUACUAUAGCUUGCCUGCUCUCAAUGAUCCCAGAAUCGAUAAACUGCCAUAUUCAAUUAGGAUCCUUUUAGAGUCUGCUAUUCGAAACUGCGAUGAGUUUCAGGUUAAGAGUAAGGAUGUUGAGAAGAUUAUUGACUGGAAGAAUACUUCUCCUAAACAAGUUGAAAUCCCAUUUAAGCCUGCCAGAGUACUGCUUCAGGAUUUUACUGGGGUUCCUGCAGUUGUUGAUCUUGCCUGCAUGCGAGAUGC